This 466-nucleotide ribosomal RNA is filed under the name Salmonella enterica subsp. enterica serovar Enteritidis. RNAcentral's name for it is "bacterial SSU rRNA". It matches the Rfam family "Bacterial small subunit ribosomal RNA", at positions 172 to 632 of the family's 1533-position model. The record is from RNAcentral. Lineage: Bacteria; Pseudomonadati; Pseudomonadota; Gammaproteobacteria; Enterobacterales; Enterobacteriaceae.
CAUAACGUCGCAAGACCAAAGAGGGGGACCUUCGGGCCUCUUGCCAUCAGAUGUGCCCAGAUGGGAUUAGCUUGUUGGUGAGGUAACGGCUCACCAAGGCGACGAUCCCUAGCUGGUCUGAGAGGAUGACCAGCCACACUGGAACUGAGACACGGUCCAGACUCCUACGGGAGGCAGCAGUGGGGAAUAUUGCACAAUGGGCGCAAGCCUGAUGCAGCCAUGCCGCGUGUAUGAAGAAGGCCUUCGGGUUGUAAAGUACUUUCAGCGGGGAGGAAGGUGUUGUGGUUAAUAACCGCAGCAAUUGACGUUACCCGCAGAAGAAGCACCGGCUAACUCCGUGCCAGCAGCCGCGGUAAUACGGAGGGUGCAAGCGUUAAUCGGAAUUACUGGGCGUAAAGCGCACGCAGGCGGUCUGUCAAGUCGGAUGUGAAAAUCCCCGGGCUCAACCUGGGAACUGCAUUCGAAA